UUAGGGUUUUUUUGUUUCCAUUGUUCCUCUUCAUCACAUAAUCCCUCAUUCGCAUUCUGUUUGGAGAAAACCUAGCCGCAGACCAUGGAUUCUCAUCUUCAUCUUUAAGGUAUUCGAUUUAGGGUUCCGAUUGGGAUUAUGACGGUGACUCAGUUUAUACUUAAUAUUAUGACGGUGAUCUCUCGAUCUAAAUCGACUGAUAUGUAAACUGAAAGAAAGGGGAACUCGCCAAAUUUGAAGCCAUCGACUGUGGAAAACCACUCGAUGAAGCAACAUAGUUUUGGAGCGUUUUGGGCUUUUGUCAAACGUGUCAAGGCCGGUUAAGCCAGUCAGCACGUUAAUUGAGGAGUUGCUUGUGCUGAAAAUAUACAAAAUGGAGAUUGCUGAAGGUGUUUAAAUUCGCUGAGUUUAAUUGCACGAUCGAGUAUUACCGGGCCCCAUACCUGGUCCUGCAGAGUCGACCGCCAGCUGGCUCACCAAAACAAGGAAGAUUUGAAAUUAUUUCGUUAUCUGGAUCUUUCACACCAUGCUACAGAACGGACAAUCGAAGGGAAACCAAAUUCAAGUACUACAGAAUAUGUCAAUGGAGAAGCAAUCAGUGAACCAACGGAAAACGUAAUCUCUGAACAACAACGGUCGGCAAAGAUUCGUGAUUUUUGUUUCGGUCUUCCAUAUGGUAAGUUUCUCUUUCUGUUGGUUCAUUUUAUAAUUUUAUAAUAUCGCGUGAUGCUGUAAUCAAUAUGAUUUUUGUUUCGGUCUUCCAUAUGGUAAGACUUGAUGGUUCUUUUAAGAUCAAGCCGCUACAAUUGUUUCUUCAAAGAUCCAGCCACUAUAAUCAAUCUUGUAUGUAUUUUCCUUUUGUUGAUUCAUAUUCUGAUUGUUAAUUUGAUAUAUCUUAGAUCGUUCUUUCCGAUUUCAAACCACAAAUCGCUUCUUCACCUCUAUACUCGCCAGUGUUGAUUCUUCGUUUUGGAUUCUCAUGUCGUCGGUUUGAUAUCAAAUUACUGAUCUUUUCUAUCUUUUUAGGUAUGACUUUCGUCAAUUAUGUUUAGGCAGUGUUGCCGACCUUGGGCUCAGGUUGCUUCGGUGGUGGGUUACAAAAUUCAUCCCGUUUUGGAUAUAAGAGAUUAACGACAUUGUGUAAGCAAGAUAUCUGAAUCGUUAAUAUAAUCAGGUGGACAAUUCUCUUGAUUUCCCUUUUAAUACCGGAUUAUAACAUCUUUUAUUGUAGCUUUAAAGAAGUAUAUUUUGAUGAAUUAAUCAAGAUUACCAAGAGCAUUUUGAAUCUUUUCUGAGUUUGUAUAUCUGUGAUUAUAUAAAGAAUGUUUGGAGUCAUUUUAAUAAUGCAA
This 1349-nucleotide long non-coding RNA is filed under the name Helianthus annuus (common sunflower). Its description in RNAcentral is "hypothetical non coding rna". Lineage: Eukaryota; Viridiplantae; Streptophyta; Magnoliopsida; Asterales; Asteraceae. The record is from RNAcentral.